UCUGGCUUAUCUCACUUAGCAUGAUGCCCUCCAGGUCCGUCCAUGUUGUCACAAAUGACACGAUUUCCUUCUUUCUCAUGACUGAAUAACAUUCCAUUUUGUAUGUGUACACCACAUCUUCCCCCACCUAUUUCUGAGAAUCCCGGGUUGAUGCUUAUGUGUUCCAGAAAUCUGAGCUGUUUGCCAGAGCAUCCAGCUCACUUAUGGCUCUCUGCCCAGGGCCACUCUUUGCUGGAUUCCACCCCUGACCCAACAAGCUUCUUGAAGCUGUCUCCUUCACCUUCCCCUCCGUCCCAGGCCUGGGAUAGACCCUUCUCUUAUGUCUCCACAUUACGUCAGAAACCAAACGGCAAUUUUAGAAAAACUUUUACCUCCAGUAAGAGGUAAGAGUAGGGAAACCGUGAAAUGAGUAACUUGAAAUGGCUAAUCUCAAAGCUCUGGGCUCAGACCAGCUUUCUGGGUCUGUUGCAGUUGGCCUCCCUGUCUCUCUCCAGCCUGCUUACUGUGGCAGGGCUCGGCUCCCCACCUGCCCCUAUUCCCAACACCACCCUGUACACAUGGCCACCUCAACGUCCGUGUCAAGUGCCAUGAAUUCCCAGCCAAACAAGGCCUUCUCCUUUCUAGGAGUUUCAUGUCUGCCUGUUGUGAGAUUUGCCCCUUUCAGGAUGAGUGACAAGGAAAAUAUCUACUCCCUUUAGAGGAAACUCUCCCUUCUCCCCCAGACCAUUGUAGCCUUGUUCAUGGACUCCCAAGAAGACAAUAUUAGGAGGUUAGAGUCCAAAGCAGUAUAUUCUGGAAUUUUCGGUCCUGGCGUGUUUGGAACAUUAGGAGUCCAGUUAUUCAUGAGCCACACAGAUUUCAAUCCAGCGCCUGUGUCUUCCCCUGUAAGAGAACACUGGGCCACACAUUCUUUCACAGGUUACCUCUGUCUCCACCCCUCAGCCUCAAGAAGGAACCUUACACCUACCACCGGCAAGCCACAGGGCAUCAGUCCAAGUUCUCACAGGGAAAGGAUCACUUCUCCCCCUUCUACGAGCACAGAUUAUAACAUAGUUCUGGCUAAAACAUACACUUAACAGUGCAUGUGACCAAAUGGAACAGUUGAAGUCAGGUUAUUUAAAUGGUGAAAGAACCCCGGUAGCUGUGUGUUUUAUAUUAUAGUUAAAGGUCCGUCCAAAGAAGUUUCCUAAGCAAAACAAUGGUCUGCCUUGAAUGUGAAUUCAUAUCUCGACUCCUAGAAUCAGAAACUGCUUAGAAAUUUUAAGUCAUAGUUUUCCCAGUUUUUAUACAUUAAUGUAUCCAAUAAAAAAUUCUAGGGCACUUGCUUCUAUUUCCUGAAUCAGCCUAUCAAACAAGUGGAUAUAAAGGCCAGAUUAUGUUAAGAACUCUUGGGAGAUAAGUCUUCAAGAAAUUAUCAAGUGUCUCUCCAUCACUUUACUCCUUGUCAUCCUACCUAUUCCCACUGAUAUACAGACACAUAAAUAAUACCAUUUGCGACUUAUAUCAUGCCACCAAUGGUGCCAUAAUGCCAUUCUUGGAUUUAGCAUUAAUGGUGUUGACCACUCUUGAGUUAUCCCGGAGUUUCUGAUGUGUAGCGAGGAGUGAUUUUGCUGAGGUGAGAAACUGAGUCAGGUGUGCAGAAAAGCAGGUGUGUGAGUGCUGGUCAGUGCACCUAGCCAUCACCCAGCCUGCAUGUCCAUGAGAGUGAGGCUCUGUGCUUCUCUAUUCCUGACACCGGUGCACAACUCUUACAUAGGGUCUGAAGCAGUCCCCCAGAGUUUUCAGUUAUUUUGUUACAUUUCAUGGGGGUAAUGAUAGAAUAUUGUGACAUUAUUGACUUUCGGGAUUUGCUAUGAUCUCAGGAACAUAAUCCUUGCAAAUGAUAAAUCUACCAUAACAUAGUAACAACAGGGGACACUUGAAGACCUUGAGUGCUGGACUUAUCCUGACUUUUCCAACCUUGCUUCUGCAGAUGAGGUCAUAAAUCAAGACGAAUCUCUAUAAGAAGUGUAUGUUGUGGGAUCAUGUAAUGUAUACUCAUUUUGUUUUGGUUGUUUACUUGUUAAAGAGACACAGAGUCAAAACAAAUUCCCCCGGUCAAUAAGAUCCUGAUGUGAGUCUUUCUAUCCACCCCAUACCGCCAUCAAUUCUGAAGGUGAGGAAUCGUAACACAUCUUAAGAACAAAUUUAGAAAAAGGAAAAAGAAGAGAGGGUGGGUGGGAAAGUGGAGCAGCUUACAUGCCAUUUACUGCCAGGAUCGUGCAAGAAAAUAGCUAAAAAAACCCCAAAGGCCUCUAUGGAGACACAUGGUAUGGCAUGGGUGGUUCUGGACUUGAGCUGUUAUAGAUUGGCUCUUGAAGAGUCCAGCUACAACUUGGGUUUAGGCAGAAAUGCGGCCAUGGGUUCUCAGCAAUUACAGUGCCUCUUUACUUUGUGCUGUCACCAGAACAGAAUUUAAGUUCAUGGCCUUUCUUUUUAUUUUAAGCACUCGUAAUAGAGAGGGGGAGAGGGAAGGUAGGAAGAGACUCAACAAAGUAUGGUAGCUAGAAUGCAAAACUGAAUUCUUUUUUCUAUUUUACUCCAAAUAAUUAAACACAUACAGGCAAAGAAGCCUGUGUCAUAGAUUUAGUAAAAAAUAAAACCAAAAAGAAACUCAAAAAACAAAGAGCCAACGGUAUACAGUCGCCACAGUAUAUGUCAACAGUACAAAAGAACAGCUUUUUAUAAACUGAAAUAGAAAACAAAGUUACUUUUCUUUGAUCCAAAUAAUUAAACCCAGAUAGCAAAAUGGCUUAUGUCAUAAAUUUAAUAAAAGCAAAAACGAAAUCUAUAAACUAAAAUCCCAGUAACAUUAAAAAGCAGGAGAGGAGCUGAGAUUCUGAAGACACAGCCACAGUGCAGGCAACCAGGAGCCUGGUAAGAGAGUGAGAUGAGCAGAUUUGUGUAACCACCGGGAACCAUCGGCCUCGAAGAUGAUCCUGACCCUUUUCCCAUUUCCAAAGAUCCCAUGUUCCAGGUCAUUCGCAAAUAAUGAAAUUUCUCGUCGUGUUCAAGAGGGCGACUUGGUUGCUGUGAAAUAAUAGUGCUAGUAUUUGCUCUUUGACUCUGGUUCCUGACGCUGAGCUCCUAAAUCUCUUGGGACUUCCUGGGUGGUAGGAUUCAGAGAGCUUCUGGGAUGUGGAUACAUGCAUGUUUGGGGAGAGUGCUGUGCCCAGAGAGGACGUGGAGGCUCUGCAUCCCUGCCACAUACCUUGUCCUAUGCAGCAGUUCCAUCUGGAUGUCCACCUGUAGCCUUUAUCAUAUCCUGUUAUAAUAAACUGGUAACCAGUAAGUAAACUGCUUUCCCAAGUUUUGUGAGCUGCUCUAGCAAGUUAAUCAACUCUGAGGAGGAAGUCAUGGGAGCCUCCAAUUUAGUCCAGAACCUGGACUUUCGACUGGGAUCUGAAGUGGGGAUGGGGCAGUCUUGUGGGACUGAGACGUUCUGUCUCUGGGUAGAUAGUGUCAGAAUUGAGUUCAACUGUAGGACACCCAACUGGUCUUGCAGAAUUGCGUGGUGUGGGAAAAUCCGCUACACGUCUGGUAUCAGAAGUGUUCGGAGUGUGGUAGACCUGUGAGAGUAAAGGAGGAACACAGGAGGGAGAGUGAAUUUUUCCUACUCAGUCGCCAUAGAGCUGCCCCACCUCCUUAGAGCUGAACUGGCUCCAGUUGAGAGACCCUGGAAGGGAUGCAGCUGGGUUCCACCUGUGGCCACCUCCCUAAGGAAUCAGGCAGGUAGAAGAAGAUGAAGCGUGGCAUCCCACUUCUAUUCAGACACCUGCUGGCUUCUGGAACCUCUGCCCAGUCACUAAAGGACGCCAUCGUUUUGUCUCCACCAUCUCGGAUCUGUUCCUAGACCACUUCCACCCUACUCCUUCCCAGUCUUCUCGUGUGUGACCUAACAUAUUUUGGGACCGUUUUAUGAACAUGCAUUCUGUCUUCUGUUCAAUUAGAACCUCCUUGAGUUCUCCCAUUCGUCUGGCCUACGUAAGUGCUCAACAAAUAUUGCUUGAAAUAACACGUUCAGAUUCUUCCACCAGCUCCGCUAGUUGUCAGCCGCCUUUAGUAAAUAGACCAAAGGUGGCGAGUCGGGCCACCAAACUGCAAGUCGGGCAGUUUUCUUUGGCACAGUCUCCUUGUCACUGAUCCUUAAUGUCCCAUGCCUGGUGGUCCCCCGGCCACUUUUAAGAGCUGUUACUUGUUACCCCUUUUUCAGUAUUCUGCUUGACAAAAAUCACACCUCCAGAUUUACUCCUAAAACUCUGAUACCACCUGCAUCUACCACACACACCAGUCUUUGAUGAUUGGAAAGAGAGCCCCAAGGCCCUACAGAGUCAAAGAAACAUCCGUCAGUGUUCAGUAGAUUAUAAUUUACGUUCUUUAACUUUCCCCAUUAGGAGCAGUUUUGCCCAAAGGCAACACAGGGAACAAAAACUGAGGCUCCUGACUUUUCUAAACUUUGUUGCUUGUUCCUUCUUCUCUCCCCCUCUUUGAGCCCUGAGGCACAGGGGAAGUGAGAAAGGGCUGGGGGGAGGGCGGAAUUCUAGGCUUCACAGUCCAGAGCCUGGCUCUGGGGCAGGUGAGCAGAUGUAGAUCCCCUGCCCCUUGUGGAGUUUGGACCUGGGAAGCGACCCAGUUUGCAGCUCCAUCUUGAGCGGCUCGCUCACAGAGUGGGCCGCUCUGUUGGGAGGUGUGGUGAUGGCCAAAACCCAAAUUACUGUCUUAGAGCUCAAACUCUUCAGGGUGAGGGUGCUACCAGGGUGCGGGUGACUGCGAGCUAUGCUCAGGAAAACCCAGGGAGAUCUAAUGGAAUCGUGGCCACGCAGAGGUGUGCAAGGCAGAGCCAGCCCAGCCGGAAGUGGCAUCCCCACCCCUUCCACAGCCUCCCCAUGCACUUUCUCUCUUCUCUGCACCCUCUGUAUUAGCAGAUGGCACCAGCUUAAAUGCUGGUCAUUUGGGGGGACCCCUGACUUAGGCCCCAAAUUAUGUCUCAUAUUUUUGCUCCUUCCCUUCUCUUAGAUCAUCCCAGAUGGUUUACAAAGAAGUUAUGCUGUAUAUAGAAGUUCUGACUAAUACAAAUAACUUCCUGCUUUCUAAUUUUCACACAAUUUAAACCAAACCCAGAAUUUCCACAGCAUUCCUGAACCAUGGAUAGUUCAGGAGGCUUAGUUGUGGAUAGUUAAAGGGACUCCUGACAAGCGAUAAAAGUCUCCAACCCCCUCUCUGCCAAAGUGAUGGUGGACUAAUGUAAGUAGGAAAAAUUUUAAAUUCACAGUGCUAGGCAGUCUCUGGGAUGUGGCACCCAGCUAUAAGGAUAUUUCAAAGCCCUUCGGGUGAUUCAGUACGCAGCUAAGUUUUCAAACCAAUGUUUUGGAAAGACUUUCAAGAAAGAUUGAAACUCAGAAGGAUUUCUGAUGAAAUCCUAUUGAGGGUUUCCAUUGUACCAUGUCAAAAAUCCUUUUAACCAAAACAGAGACUUUGUAAUAGUGGCACGUCCUGUGGUUCUUCAAGACAACAAACUACAGUCCCUGUCAGAUGUUCUUAAAACAGUCCUCAAGAAGUUAAAAGUAGAAUUUCCAUGUAAUUCCCAAAUCCACUGCUGUGUAUAGACCCAAAAGAAUUGAAAGCGGGGACUCAAGUGGAUAUUUGUACACCCAUGUGUAUAGCAGCAUUAUUCAUAAUAACCAAAAGAUAGAAGCCAUCCAUUGAUAGCGAUCCUUCGAUAGAUGAAUGGACAGACCAAUGUGGUAUAUACACACUGCUAAACUUAUUAAACAAGGAUGCUAUUAGACAGAAGUGGCCAUAAUGCCUGGGCAGCCUACAUAAGCAAACCAGAACUUAGGCCUGUAAAUGCUUCCAGGUUAAGAAAUCAAAACCAAAGGACAGUGAAGCGCAAAUAACCAACUAGACUUUCCCAAAUAAUGCAACCACUUAAGCCAGCGCCAGUCAAAUAAUUUCCUUGCCUUCCUUCCACAUUUGCUCUCUGAAAGUCUUUCCUCAGCUCUUGUAGGUGGAGCACUCUUAACCGCUUCUGCUUUGUCGCUGCCCAAUCCAAUCUAUGUUUGCUCAAAUAAAAUCUUAAAACUUUUCAA
This is a long non-coding RNA of Felis catus (domestic cat), 6128 nucleotides long. RefSeq lists it as uncharacterized. The transcript has 2 exons. NCBI's taxonomy places the organism in Eukaryota, Metazoa, Chordata, Mammalia, Carnivora, Felidae. The record is from RefSeq and is a predicted model, not a curated record.